Molecule: long non-coding RNA, 593 nt
Organism: Apodemus sylvaticus (European woodmouse)
Lineage: Eukaryota; Metazoa; Chordata; Mammalia; Rodentia; Muridae
Exons: 2
Source: RefSeq, a predicted model, not a curated record
UAUGAUGAAUUCCCUUGUUUUUGAGUUGUCACAGAAGUCCUCCUCCUCCUCCUGGUUUGUUUCCCUGUUACUGUGACAAACACUGUGGCCCAAAGCAGCUUAUGGAGGGAAAGGUCAUUUGUGGCUUACAGGUUUUGGUCUGUCAUCAAGGGAAGCCAAAGCAGGAAACUGGAGGUGGCAGACGAGGCAGUGACCACGGAGAAAUGUCUCUAACUGGUUUGGUUUCUAGGUGUGCUUGGGUCUUCAGAAGUUCAAGAAUGACAAGAAUGACAGUUAACUUGUGCCCGAGGAAGGCUGGAGCUGUGGAGAAGAAACAGAGAGAAUCACAAGGAAGAGAAGGGAAGCAAAUCUUUUCCAUGCCUGCUGGAGAAUUAUGAACUUAAAGCAGGUUAAACUCAGGGGAAGGGAGAAGUUCUACAUUGUAAUGAAGGCUGCACACAUGCGAUGAGUCUGGGCUGGAUUGCACGUGACUUUGACUCGUUUGAAAGAGGCUAGAUACCUUUUUAGCAAGCACAAAGCAGAAAGUUCUAUAAAACUUGUUUGUCUAGUGAGCUAAUGACUCCAGAGGGCCGAUAAACUGUCUCUUUCCUUUA